This 266-nucleotide ribosomal RNA is filed under the name uncultured soil bacterium. RNAcentral's name for it is "partial 16S ribosomal RNA". It matches the Rfam family "Bacterial small subunit ribosomal RNA", at positions 26 to 280 of the family's 1533-position model. The record is from RNAcentral.
AGAGUCAACGCUGGCGGCGUGCCUCAGACAUGCAAGUCGAACGCGAAAGUCCCCUUCGGGGGACAAGUAGAGUGGCGCACGGGUGAGUAACACGUAGGUAAUCUACCUUUGGAUGGGGAAUAACAACCGGAAACGGUUGCUAAUACCGCAUAAUGCAGCGGCACCUAAUGGUGACAGUUGUUAAAGCGGGGAUCGAAAGCCUGCGUCUGAAGAGGAGCCUGCGGCGGAUUAGCUAGUUGGAAAGUACGGCUUACCAAGGCGACGAU